ACUCGCUGUGGAGGCAAGCCGCGGCGCGCGGGCGGUUGGUCCAGUUCUCGGGCCUGGAGGUAGGCGAGUCUGGCUUGUUGCUGUCGGAUACUUGGGGUGAGCGGAAAGCAUGGCGGGGACCUCUGCGCCAGGCAGCAAGAGGCGGAGCGAGACCCCGGCGCCUCGCCCCGGCCCGCCGCCGGGCACUGGGCACCCCCCGAGCAAGCGGGCCCGGGGCUUCUCCGCGGUCGCUGCCCCGGACCCUGACGACCCGUUUGGCGCGCAUGGGGACUUCACUGCCGACGACCUGGAGGAGCUUGACACCCUCGCGUCACAGGCCCUGAGCCAGUGUCCGGCCCCGGCUCAGCACGUGUCCAGUGAUCAUAAGGUCCACAGAUUAUUAGAUGGCAUGUCAAAAAAUCCUGCAGGGAAAAACAGAGAAAGUGUUCCAAUUAAAGAUAAUUUUGAAUUAGAGGUACUUCAAGCACAAUACAAAGAACUGAAAGAAAAGAUGAAAGUAAUGGAAGAAGAAGUUCUCAUUAAGAAUGGAGAAAUUAAAAUUUUGCGAGACUCACUACAUCAGACGGAAUCUGUUCUAGAGGAACAGAGAAGAUCACAUUUUCUUCUUGAGCAAGAGAAAACCCAAGCACUCAGUGACAAAGAAAAGGAAUUCUCCAAAAAGCUCCAAUCAUUGCAGUCUGAACUCCAGUUUAAAGAUGCAGAGAUGAAUGAAUUAAGGACAAAGCUCCAGACCAGUGAACGUGCAAAUAAACUGGCUGCUCCUUCUGUUUCCCAUGUCAGUCCUAGGAAAAACCCUUCUGUGGUUAUAAAGCCAGAAGCAUGUUCUCCACAAUUUGGAAAAACAUCUUUUCCUACAAAGGAGUCUUUUAGUGCUAACAUGUCCCUUCCCCACCCCUGCCAGACAGAGUCAGGAUACAAGCCUCUGGUGGGCAGAGAGGAUAGUAAGACCCACAGUCUGAGAGGUGACUCCAUAAAACAAGAAGAGGCCCAGAAAAGCUUUGUUGACAGCUGGAGACAGAGAUCAAACACUCAAGGUUCCAUUUUGAUAAACCUGCUCCUGAAGCAGCCUUUGAUCCCAGGGUCAUCCCUAAGCCUGUGCCACCUCCUGAGUAGUAGUUCUGAGUCUCCUGCUGGCACCCCCCUGCAGCCACCAGGGUUUGGCAGUACCUUGGCUGGAAUGUCAGGCCUCAGGACCACAGGUUCUCAGGAUGGGUUAUUUUCCCUCUCAGCCCUGAGAGAAGCACAGAACCUGGCAUUCACUGGACUGAAUCUGGUUGCUAGGAAUGAGUGCUCACAUGAUGGAGACCCAGCAGAGGGAGGCAGAAGGGCCUUCCCACUCUGCCAGCUUCCUGGAGCCGUGCAUUUCCUCCCCCUUGUACAGUUCUUCAUCGGCUUACACUGCCAGGCCCUGCAGGACUUGGCAGCUGCUAAGAGAAGCGGAGCACCUGGGGACUUACCGACACAUUCCUCCCGCGUGAGCUCUGGGGUAGAGACCAACCCUGAGGACUCAGUGUGCAUCCUGGAAGGCUUCUCUGUGACUGCACUUAGCAUUCUUCAGCACCUGGUGUGCCACAGCGGAGCAGUGGUCUCCCUAUUACUGUCACCAGUUGGGGCAGAUUCUGCUGCUGGGGAAGGAAAUGGGAGCCUGGUUCACAGGUUUAGUGAUGGAGAUAUGACCUCAGCCCCAAGGGGGGUUGCUGACGACCAAGGACAGCACCCACUGUUGAAGAUGCUUCUUCACCUGUUGGCUUUCUCUUCUGCAGCAAUAGGUCACCUUCAAGCCAGUGUCCUGACCCAGUGCCUUAAGGUUUUGGUGAAAUUAGCCGAAAACACUUCCUCUGAUUUCUUGCCCAGGUUCCAGUGUGUGUUCCAAGUGCUGCCAAAGUGCCUCAGCCCAGAGACACCCCUGCCUGGCGUGCUGCUGGCUGUUGAGCUCCUCUCCCUCCUGGCGGACCACGACCAGUUGGCACCUCAGCUUUGUUCCCACUCAGAAGACUGCCUCCUGCUGCUGCUGUACAUGUACAUCACAUCACGGCCUGACAGAGUGGCCUCAGAGACACAAUGGCUCCAGCUGGAACAAGAGGUGGUGUGGCUCCUGGCUAAGCUUGGUGUGCAGAGCCCCUUGCCCCUAGUCACUGGCUCCAACUGCCAGUGUAAUGUAGAGGUGGUCAGAGCGCUCACGGUGAUGUUGCACAGACAGUGGCUGACAGUGCGGAGGGCAAGCGGGCCCCCAAGGACUGACCAGCAGAGGCGGACAGUGCGCUGUCUGCGGGACAUGGUGCUGCUGCUGCAUGGCCUGUCCCAGAAGGACAAGCUCUUCAUAAUGCACUGCGUGGAGGUCCUGCAUCAGUAUGACCAGGUGAUGCCAGGGGUCAGCAUGCUCAUCCGCGGGCUUCCUGACGUGACCGACUGUGAAGAGGCAGCCCUGGAUGACCUCUGUGCCACGGAAACCGAUGUGGACGACCCCGAGUUGGAGUGUGGCUGAGGCCCUGAGCGUCCAGCCACAUGGUGGCACCAGCACCGUUCCUUUCCUUACCACAUCAACUGAUUAAAGCAGUGACCAGCAGGAACUGCCCAGAGAACCGGCUGGCCUUGUUUCCUGAGUCUGAUCUGUUUGGCAGAGUGGGAGGGGUGGAGCGGGACCGGGACCUUGGGUGGCUGGCAUCCUUCUUCCUGUCCCUGGCUGCUGCUGAGCCCCAGUCCCCAUGGUAACCGAUCUGCCUUGAGGAAGGAGCCCUGCCCUGCCUGUGGAAUUGCCCUGAGUCAUUGCUUUGGGCUGGGGCCAUGGGAAGAAACCAUUGUGUGGCAGGGAAGGAGGUGGCUCUUGGCCCAGGCCUAAACCAGGAAAGCCUGGAAAAGUGGGACCCACAGGUGGGCACAAAAGGGCUGCAGCAGGAGCUCCCAGCAGUGUGUAACACCGGGAGCUGGUCUGGCGCCACUGCCCUGGUCCUUCCAGCUGCCUGUCACUGGUGUGAUGGCCCAGUGCAUUGUGCCACCAGCAGGCCACAGCUGUGGAUCUUAGAAGGCCUCUGGGGUCCCCUGGGGGCGGGGAAGUGGGGGUUGGGGGGACGGAUGUUGGCGAGAGGGACAGACCAGACAGUCUGACGAGCAGGGCGGGCCUGGCUCACGUGGGCCUGUAGGCGGGCCCACACCAAGUUUCACUUCCCGCCACUGCUGCCAGUGAGAGCCGCGGGGAGAGUGUGCAGCCAAGUCACUACUGCCUGCCUGCCUGCUACGAGCUGGCUAUGCUGGGCCUCACCAGUGCUCUGGAUGGUGCCUUCUGUGUGGAUAGCAUCACUGCGCUGAAGGCCGUGGAGCGAGCAGGCAGCCCCUCAGAACACGGCCCAAGGAAGAGCUACAGCCUAGGCAGCAUCUACACACGCCUGUAUGGGCAGUCCCCUCCGGACUCGCACACGGCUGAGGGUGAUGUCCUGGCCCUGCUCAGCAUCUGUCAGUGGAGACCACAGGCCCUGCUGCGGUGGGUGGAUGCUCACGCCAGGCCCUUCAGCACCAUCAGGCCCAUGUAUGGGGUCACAGCCUCUGCUGGGACCAAGCCAAGACCAUCUGCUGUUACAGCCACUGCACACCUGGCCACAACCAGGAACACUAGUCCCAGCCUUGGAGAGAGAAGGCGACCCAAGGAUCUUCCUCCGGUGAAGGACCCUGGAGCCCUACCCAGGGAGGGGCUACUGGCACCACUGGGUCUACUGGCUGUCCUGACCUUGGCAGUGGCCACACUGUAUGGACUAUCCCUGGCUGCACCUGGGGAGUAGGCCAAGAAGGAAAAUCUGAUGAAUAAAGACCCCCCCU
Molecule: RNA transcript, 3810 nt
Organism: Rhinopithecus roxellana (golden snub-nosed monkey)
Lineage: Eukaryota; Metazoa; Chordata; Mammalia; Primates; Cercopithecidae
Gene: ATRIP
Gene name: ATR interacting protein
Exons: 14
Source: RefSeq, a predicted model, not a curated record